RNAcentral lists this ribosomal RNA (331 nucleotides) under uncultured bacterium. RNAcentral's name for it is "bacterial SSU rRNA". It matches the Rfam family "Bacterial small subunit ribosomal RNA", at positions 568 to 898 of the family's 1533-position model. The record is from RNAcentral.
CGUGCAGGCGGUCUGUUAAGUUCAGGGUGAAAGCUCCCGGCUCAACUGGGAGAGGUCCUUGGAUACUGGCAGACUUGAGGGAGGUAGAGGAGAGUGGAAUUCCCGGUGUAGUGGUGAUAUGCGUAGAUAUCGGGAGGAACACCAGUGGCGAAGGCGGCUCUCUGGGCCUUUCCUGACGCUGAGACGCGAAAGCGUGGGGAGCGAACCGGAUUAGAUACCCGGGUAGUCCACGCCGUAAACUAUGAACACUAGGUGUGGGGGGUAUCGACCCCUCCGUGCCGCAGCUAACGCAAUAAGUGUUCCGCCUGGGGAGUACGGCCGCAAGGCUAAA